UAUCCAUUCAUUUCACUCAUGGUGUGUUAACUGAAUAGAACAAGCUUUCCCGUACUCCACUGAAAACCAACCCCAACUACUAUAUGAAAAGUACUAUAUGAAUCCUAGAGGAAGCUACAGAGAGAACUGAUGUCACCUCUCAGCCUCCUUUUCUCUGGACUGGACAACCCAAGUUGUGAGGACAGCCUCUCCUCACAAGACAUGCCUUUCUUUUAUCAGCUUGUUACCUCCUCUGGACACUUUUAAGUUCCUUAAUAUCCUCUUUAUAUUGGGAAGUCCAGAACUGUACACAGUAUUCAAGCUGUUUGCGUUCUGCACAGAUGAAGCAUUAAUCUUCUGGAAUAAAAAAAUAUGAUUGUGUUUGUGGUGUGACUCACAGUUUCUGAACCAUUGAGGCCACAGGUACUGUAUUACCCCUCUACAUUUCAUUUAUUCACAUGUAUUGUAAUUCUCAGUGUAGGUUUAGAGAAACAAACAAACAAACAAAAAGCACUUUGAUUCUGCAAGAACCUUCAUAUUGGUAUUAUUGGAUUUGUCUGCUGUGGAACAGGAUCUCAAGGCCUUUAUGAACAGCUUUCAGUAUCUUCUUCCCAGUUCAAAUCAACCCCUAUAAAAUACAUA
This is a long non-coding RNA of Anas platyrhynchos (mallard), 621 nucleotides long. RefSeq lists it as uncharacterized. The record is from RefSeq and is a predicted model, not a curated record. Lineage: Eukaryota; Metazoa; Chordata; Aves; Anseriformes; Anatidae.